RNAcentral lists this ribosomal RNA (1353 nucleotides) under Triticum aestivum (bread wheat). RNAcentral describes it as "partial small subunit ribosomal RNA". The record is from RNAcentral. Lineage: Eukaryota; Viridiplantae; Streptophyta; Magnoliopsida; Poales; Poaceae.
AUGGCCGGCUCCCGGCUCGUCCAUCUCUUCCUUCUCAUCCUCUUCUUCCCCUCCCUCCGCGCCGCCCCCAACACCACCGCCGUGGUGUCCAGGAUCGCAUUUGGCUCCUGCGCCAACCAGAGCGCGCCCCAGCCCGUGUGGGAGGCCAUCGUGGGGUUCGACCCGCAGGUCUUCAUCUGGCUCGGGGACAACGUCUACGGGGACAACAAGCGCCCGUUCCGGGUGUUCGGGAGGGAGCGCACGGUGGGGCCCUGGAGGAACGUGCCGCGCUUCUACCCGGCGACCGAGGAGGAGCUGCGCCGGAAGUACGAGCUGGCCAAGGCUAACCCGGGGUACGCCAAGCUGAGGGAGAGGGCUAGGGUCAUUGGAACAUGGGAUGACCAUGAUUAUGGAGUGAAUGAUGCAGGAAAGGAAUAUAGUGGGAAAGUGUUAUCCCAAAGGCUUCUAUUAGAUUUCCUGGAUGAAGACGAAGACAGUCCACGGAGGAAACAAGCAGGUGUUUAUGCCUCAUACAUGUUUGGCCCCGAAGGAAAACGUGUAAAGGUAAUAAUGUUGGACACCAGAUAUCACAGAGACCCACUCUUAAGUGAUGGAACUAUACUUGGAGAUCCUCAGUGGCAGUGGCUGGAGAGGGAGCUACGUGGUCCUCAGUCAGAGAUGACCAUCAUUGGAUCUUCAAUUCAGGUGGUGUCCAAUCUUUCUGCCACCACUCGACCUUUGUUCUAUGUGGAGUCUUGGGCAUGCUUUCCGAGGGAAAGAGAACGGCUGUUUAGACUGAUCGAUAGCAGUAAGAGAAAUGGGGUCUUAUUUAUUAGUGGUGAUGUUCAUUUUGGAGAAAUCGCUCGUUUUGACUGCGGUGUUCAAUAUCCAUUGUAUGAUAUUACCUCGAGUGGUCUUACUCAGUCUGUCGAGAAUUCUGUACCAGCAAUAUUUCAAUCUGUUAUGAGACUUCUGGCUUGGCUGACACCAACCCCCAUGCGAGUCUUCAGCCCUAACUGCCGUCACAAAUCAUGCUCAUAUGGUCAGCCAAAUUUUGGAGCAAUCGAAAUAGAUUGGAAUGCAGUAACUCCACGGGUUAAAAUUGAACUAAGAGAUUUACAGGGCAAUUCUGUUGAUGGUGUGGAGUUCCCUAUAUCUGAGCUGAAGCCAUCAAAUGCACAUGCAAACAAAAAAGAAGGGCAUUCUUUUGAAGCACAUUGUAGUCUCGAAACAGAGCUUCCAUGGCUGCUACGGUACCGCCUUGCGAUGCUAUUCUUUGGCACCAUUGCCGUUUUUGUCGUUGCUUUGGUGCUUGUCGGAAUCGCUUGCUGUUCAGCUACUAAAAUGUUUACUAGGAAGUGCAAGAUGGCAUAG